RNAcentral lists this unclassified non-coding RNA (300 nucleotides) under uncultured fungus. Its description in RNAcentral is "sequence contains 5.8S rRNA gene, ITS2". The stretch from base 1 to 71 matches the Rfam family "5.8S ribosomal RNA", at positions 84 to 154 of the family's 154-position model. The record is from RNAcentral. Lineage: Eukaryota; Fungi.
GUGAAUCAUCGAAUCUUUGAACGCACAUUGCGCUCUCUGGUAUUCCGGAGAGCAUGCCUGUUUCAGAAUCGGCAACAUUUCCUCUUGUUCACAUGGGCAAUCCACAAAGGAUUUGUCUUUGGGAGCAAGGACUUUGGAUGUUUUUCUGUAAACAAAAUCAUCUUGAAUGAAUUUGUGGGUGUGCGGAUGUCCCGAGGUUCCUUAACUGGAACUGGCCCCAAAGUGCAACAAAAAGCCAUGCUCUUUAACAACCACUUGGGCUUGAGGCAUCCAAACACGUGCAUGUUUUUCACAAAACCA